RNAcentral lists this ribosomal RNA (510 nucleotides) under uncultured bacterium. RNAcentral's name for it is "bacterial SSU rRNA". It matches the Rfam family "Bacterial small subunit ribosomal RNA", at positions 28 to 526 of the family's 1533-position model. The record is from RNAcentral.
GAUGAACGCUAGCGAUAGGCUUAACACAUGCAAGUCGAGGGGCAGCAUGAUCUUAGCUUGCUAAGAUUGAUGGCGACCGGCGCACGGGUGAGUAACACGUAUGCAACCUACCCACUACAGGGGGAUAGCUCGCUGAAAGGCGAAUUAAUACCGCAUAAUACAGGGAUCUCGCAUGAGAUUAUUUGUUAAAGAAUUUUCGGUAGUGGAUGGGCAUGCGUUCCAUUAGCUAGUUGGUAAGGUAACGGCUUACCAAGGCAACGAUGGAUAGGGGUUCUGAGAGGAAGGUCCCCCACACUGGUACUGAGACACGGACCAGACUCCUACGGGAGGCAGCAGUGAGGAAUAUUGGUCAAUGGGCGAGAGCCUGAACCAGCCAAAUCGCGUGAAGGACGACGGUAUUAUGUAUUGUAAACUUCUUUUAUAAGGGAAUAAAAAGUAGGACGUGUCCUAUGUUGCAUGUACCUUAUGAAUAAGCAUCGGCUAACUCCGUGCCAGCCGCCGCCGUAACAC